UACGGGGGGAGCAAGCGUUGUUCGGAUUUACUGGGCGUAAAGGGCGCGUAGGCGGCCACCGCAAGUCGACUGUGAAAUCUCCGGGCUUAACCCGGAAAGGUCAGCCGAUACUGCGGGGCUAGAGUGCAGAAGGGGCAACUGGAAUUCUCGGUGUAGCGGUGAAAUGCGUAGAUAUCGAGAGGAACACCUGCGGCGAAGGCGGGUUGCUGGGCUGACACUGACGCUGAGGCGCGAAAGCUAGGGGAGCGAACGGU
RNAcentral lists this ribosomal RNA (254 nucleotides) under uncultured bacterium. Its description in RNAcentral is "partial 16S ribosomal RNA". It matches the Rfam family "Bacterial small subunit ribosomal RNA", at positions 524 to 776 of the family's 1533-position model. The record is from RNAcentral.